GACGAACGCUGGCGGCGUGCCUAAUACAUGCAAGUCGAACGCAGUGGGGACGGGUGAGUAACAAGUGGGUAACCUCCCAUCAGAGGGGAUAAAACUUGGAAACAGGUGCUAAACCGAUAUUGGUGGAUGGACCCGGGGUGCAUUAGGUAGUUGGUGGGGGAACGGCUCACCAAGGCCACGAUGCAUAGCUGACCUGCGAGGGUGAUCGGCCACACUGGGACUGAGACACGGCCCAGACGCCGACGGGAGGCAGCAGUAGGGAAUCUUCGGCAAUGGACGAAAGUCUGACCGAGCAACGCCGCGUGAGUGAAGAAGGUUUUCGGAUCGUAAAACUCUGUUGUUAGAGAAGCGGUAUCUAACCAGAAAGCCACGGCUAACUACGUGCCAGCAGCCGCGGUAAUUC
RNAcentral lists this ribosomal RNA (403 nucleotides) under uncultured bacterium. Its description in RNAcentral is "partial 16S ribosomal RNA". It matches the Rfam family "Bacterial small subunit ribosomal RNA", at positions 28 to 526 of the family's 1533-position model. The record is from RNAcentral.